UGGUCCCACCCUCGUCACCGCCCCCGCGGCUGCGCGUGCACGAGCGCAAGGUGUCUAACCGGAAAACCACCAUG
This 74-nucleotide non-coding RNA is filed under the name uncultured Chlorophyceae. The record is from RNAcentral. Lineage: Eukaryota; Viridiplantae; Chlorophyta; Chlorophyceae.